UAUCUACUGCUGUAUUUUUCACUGUGCAAG
This 30-nucleotide non-coding RNA is filed under the name Mus musculus (house mouse). Lineage: Eukaryota; Metazoa; Chordata; Mammalia; Rodentia; Muridae. The record is from RNAcentral.